GACGAGUCUCACGAACGUUAUUCGGAAUUACUGGGCUUAAAGGGUGCGUAGGCGGUGGAGUAAGUCGGAUGUGAAAUACCAUAGCUUAACUAUGGAACUGCACUCGAUACUACUUUGCUAGAGUAAGACAGAGGUGAGUGGAACUGAGGGUGGAGCGGUGAAAUGCGUUGAUAUCCUCAGGAACACCGGUGGCGAAGGCGACUCACUGGGUCUUUACUGACGCUGAUGCACGAAAGCGUGGGGAGCGAACAGG
Molecule: ribosomal RNA, 253 nt
Filed under: uncultured bacterium
Lineage: Bacteria
Description: partial 16S ribosomal RNA
Rfam family: Bacterial small subunit ribosomal RNA
Source: RNAcentral